This 587-nucleotide ribosomal RNA is filed under the name uncultured bacterium. RNAcentral describes it as "partial 16S ribosomal RNA". It matches the Rfam family "Bacterial small subunit ribosomal RNA", at positions 795 to 1381 of the family's 1533-position model. The record is from RNAcentral.
CCACGCCGUAAACGAUGAGUGCUAGGUGUUGGAUCCUUUCCGGGAUUCAGUGCCGCAGCCAACGCAUUAAGCACUCCGCCUGGGGAGUACGACCGCAAGGUUGAAACUCAAAGGAAUUGACGGGGGCCCGCACAAGCGGUGGAGCAUGUGGUUUAAUUCGAAGCAACGCGAAGAACCUUACCAGGUCNNGACAUCCCGAUGCUAUUUCUAGAGAUAGGAAGUUACUUCGGUACAUCGGUGACAGGUGGUGCAUGGUUGUCGUCAGCUCGUGUCGUGAGAUGUUGGGUUNNNNNNNNNNNNCGAGCGCAACCCCUAUUGUUAGUUGCCAUCAUUCAGUUGGGCACUCUAGCGAGACUGCCGGUAAUAAACCGGAGGAAGGUGGGGAUGACGUCAAAUCAUCAUGCCCCUUAUGACCUGGGCUACACACGUGCUACAAUGGUUGGUACAACGAGUUGCGAGUCGGUGACGGCGAGCUAAUCUCUUAAAGCCAAUCUCAGUUCGGAUUGUAGGCUGCAACUCGCNUACAUGAAGUCGGAAUCGCUAGUAAUCGCGGAUCAGCACGCCGCGGUGAAUACGUUCCCGGGCNU